UCCAAAUCCAAGGCCCAAUUGGUGGAACUAUAUAUUGAUUUUUUCUUCACAAAUCAAGGAAACAAUUCAUUUUCUAAAUUUCUCCAAAGAACUUCCACUCAUUCUCAAAAACCUCUCAAAUUGAUAUCUCCAUUCUCAAAAAGAUCAAAACCAACUCUCUCAACUUUUUCUCAAGAUCUUCAUCCAUCUUCAUCAAAAUCUCAAUAUCCAAAAAAUCAAAAACUCAUAAACUCCAUCAAUUUUAUUCUCCCCCCAGUGAUCGAAGCCACCGCUAAUACUCCCUCCGACUGCAGUGAUUCCGUGAUCAACUCCUCCCUCUGA
Molecule: non-coding RNA, 321 nt
Organism: Vicia faba (fava bean)
Lineage: Eukaryota; Viridiplantae; Streptophyta; Magnoliopsida; Fabales; Fabaceae
Source: the annotation of a GenBank genome assembly